Molecule: long non-coding RNA, 3565 nt
Organism: Chiroxiphia lanceolata (lance-tailed manakin)
Lineage: Eukaryota; Metazoa; Chordata; Aves; Passeriformes; Pipridae
Exons: 5
Source: RefSeq, a predicted model, not a curated record
CAUCCCACGGAACUCAUUUGCCAGCCCAGGGUCUGCAACGAGGCUCAGCCUUCAAAGUGUCCAACACACUGAAAACGGAAAAAAACCACGACAGAACCAGCUACAGGGACCUGAGAGGGUCUUCUGGUGGAACUUGAGCCAGCUCUGCAGCCCCACAGCAGGACAAUGCCAGAGGAUGGGAAUGACGGAGCCCACGGCACGGACACAGCGGACGGGGACACGUGUGUGGGUCGGUGACAGUCACAGCAGGAGCAGCCCCAGCCUGCCAGGCUUGGCACCUGAACAAGCAACACUUCUGGCAGCAGCACAAGGAAUUCAGGCCCUUGCAAGAGGAUUUUCAGGAUGCACAGCACAACCUCUGUAAGUUGUCCAGCAUAAAAUACUGUUCUGCUUUGGGGUUUCAGCAUUUGCAGGAAGGGAGUUUGAGCCUAUUUAAGACUGAGGAAGGGAAUUACUAUUCAGGUGGAAAAAGAAAUUGCUCAGAAAAUCUGGACACUUUUAUAUCUUUCUUUCUCUCAACUGUAUCUGCAUUUAAGGGCCUUUAGCCUGUAAUAAAAGCAAUUAAUUUCCUGACCAGCUCAGCAAGAUGGAUAAAGAAACACCCUCCAAGAGAGUGAGGAUGUGAAUCCACAUGUUUAACAAAACGGGGGAAAUGCUGUGAGAGGUUGAACUUGAGUGAAACCUGUAAAACGUGAAUUAAUCUUUGUUGCCCAUAUAACAAACAAACAUAACUCAAGAAAACAUGGAAUAUGGAAGGCAAACCUACUUCUUGUACCUAGAAACUAUAAUAUUAAACAUGUUUCUCGUUGCCCAAGUUGGGGAGCAAGCCCUGCCACAGAUGUUUAACCCUCAGCAACACCAAAUUCCUUCUUCUCCAUACAUGUUUUCCAUUCCAUCCUCAGUCAGGAAUGCCUGGGUGAUUUAGAGGGGCAAGUGUUGUUAUUAGAAGGUAAAGGAGUCAAUCCUAAUUCACUUAGGUUUAUUUUCUAAGUGGCUAAAGAGAUGUAACAUCAGCCUCCAACGAGGGAGGGCAGCUCCUGCGUGUGUGGGAAUAUUAAUGAGGAUUGGCUCGAGGUAACCAGCCAGCAGGAUCUGUUUGCUAAAGCCAAUUAGUUAGUAAUCAGCAGCUUGCUCACUUUAAAAUGUCUGAUUAUUUAAAAAUGAAGGAAAAAAUACAGCCUGGAGAGCGAUAUCAAACCCAGUCGGGUGAGAAAAUCAAAGUGUACGGCAGGGAUUUUGUAACCUAACGGAGCUAGUGAGGAGAAUUGCAUUAAAAACAGAACCUGCCCAAACUCGGGGGGAGUUUAAAUCCACUCUGCAAACUGGACUUGCCUCUUUUCAACACUUGAACUGUGGGCUUGGAUAUGCUGCUAUGGAACAAGAAUGUUGCAGGUUACACUUUUCACAUCAAAGGGCCAGGGCUGGAUGGAAAAACACUCUGUCUUUGCCAAAAUAUGUUCUUUAUUUCCUUGGUGUCUUUCUGAAGGUCUCCAAGGGCUGAACACUUAAUGGUGAGUAACCUUUCCUGGAAACUCUUGGUAGUUGAUAGAAGUCACUGAGAGGGACAACCUGAACCACAGGACAAGGGACAUCCUUCAGCUCCAGGCUCAGAGUUGGGAACGACCUUAUUUCUACCUCCAUGACGAGUCCCUGGGUUUGUUUAACUGCAGAGCAAAUCCAUUUUGCACCAAUGUCCCCUACAAGCAGAUCCUCUGCUGCUGCAGCCCCUGAGCCCUGCCUUUGGUCCCAAACCAACCACAGGCCAAGGCAAACCAAGAUUUUCAGGCUAUUUUGCAUGUUUCAGCAUUAAGUAAUCCCCUGGUUGCAGUAAUAUCCAUUCUCCUGCUCCCUCUCCAGCUGUUCCACAACAUUCUCUCUUCAAACCCCAUCACUUCUAGUUUUAUCCAGGACAGAGUCUUUCCUGCAAGGUUUCAGUUGGCUUUAACUCUCAGGUUUCCCAGGAUAAGGAAUCAAUAACUAUUUAAUAUUUAAGCAGCUUACAAGCCACAAUUGAACUGUAGAUGUGACAUCAGUGUCCCAGCCACAGAGAAUCCCUGGAAAUCCAAAUGCCAGUGGCAGCAAGGUAUUAAUAAUCCAUGUUGGGCUUAUCUCUACUUGAGAACCAAGCACCUCACUUGGAAUAAAUACUGCUGAUGAUCCUCCCAGGGGUUACUUUUCUCCCCAUUGAGUGCAUCCCUUUGUCUGGGAAGGUAAAUGGGAUUUGGGGUGGAUCAUUGACAGUGUGGCUUUAAUAGAAAGACAGCCCAGAGCCAAGCAAAGCCCCAGUGGUCAGAGCUUCGAUCUCUCUGCCCGUAAAGCAGCAGCUGGGAUCAAUUAUUGCCCACCAGGUGAUCCAUAUCUGCUCAUCCAUCUGGCUGUGGGGCAGCCCCUGCAAAUAUCUUUCCUGACUCUGCAGAACCAGAGCUCUCACAAAGAGUUCCUGUGCCCAGGGUGGAAAUGCAGCCGCGUGGUCUGGACAGGCUGGGAGUUCAGCACUAAGAAACCACAAAAUCAUACUGCAAAAAACCAUAAUCUGUAAAUACAGAGAGACUUUUUACAACACUCCUUCACACUCUGGUUUAUCCUCUGCACUCAGAGGUAGCACUGCCAGAAAAGCCAGCUCAAAGUGCAGCUUAGGCACAAGAAAGGGCUCAAGCAAACAGCUCCACUGAGCCCAAAUUAAGGGCCUUCCUCUGCAUCUGCAUGUGUGCAUUGACACAAAAUGGUAGGAACAGGCAGUUUCCAAAUAUGUUUUCACCUCCAGUUAGUGGCUGAGAAGUGAUCCCUGUAGGAACAGGCUAAAUAAAUAUAAAUGUAUAUAUAAUACCUGUCUGAAAUCCAUAAGAUGGUGGACAAUAGGGAUCUUUUCACAUUACAGGCUUAAAAGCAAGAUAAUCCCUUUUCUUUUAUAAGCAGUGUGAAUACUUCCCCAGCAAACAUUCUGAAGGUUUAAAUGAAUUCAUUGGUAUUUGUUCCAAGCCUUCAAGAAGAGGUAAGAAACCUGAAACAAGGGUUGUGUGGAGAUAAGGAGCCUUAGGCUCUUGUAAUCCUCAGCUUGCUUUUGUAUCCUGAGAAAAUGCAGGGCUUUGUUGCAGACAGUUGGCUGCUCCAUGGACAUCACUAAUCCCUUGGGCAGCAGUCUCUGCCUUUGCCAGCAAGGAAAACCCUCGUCAUGAACGAGUUUUGUCAUCUCCCAGUGCAAUGAAGAGAUUCCUGCAACACAGUCAAUUGGAUCAGCCCAGAUAACAGGUUUCUGGCAGUGGGGUCACAGGAACACACUGUGGAUUUCUAUGAUCUCACCCAAGGCACAACCCUGAACCGAAUCGGGUACUGCAAGGACAUUGCCAGCUUUGUCAUCCAGAUGGACUUCUCUGCAGACAGCAGGUACAUCCAGGUCUCCACGGGCGCCUACAAGCGCCAGGUUCACGAGGUGCCCCUGGGGAAGCAAAUCACAGACCCUGCAGCCAUAGAGAAGAUCACCUGGGCCACGUGGACCAGCCCUGGUUUGAACAGCACAGGACUGGGCCAAAGCAGCUCCAUCGAACACCCGGCAGGAGGGAGAGCA